RNAcentral lists this ribosomal RNA (499 nucleotides) under uncultured Streptococcus sp. RNAcentral describes it as "bacterial SSU rRNA". It matches the Rfam family "Bacterial small subunit ribosomal RNA", at positions 61 to 532 of the family's 1533-position model. The record is from RNAcentral. Lineage: Bacteria; Bacillati; Bacillota; Bacilli; Lactobacillales; Streptococcaceae.
GUAGCAACGCACAGUUUAUACCGUAGCUUGCUACACCAUAGUACUGUGAGUUGCGAACGGGUGAGUAACGCGUAGGUAACCUGCCUGGUAGCGGGGGAUAACUAUUGGAAACGAUAGCUAAUACCGCAUAAUAUUAAUUAUUGCAUGAUAAUUAAUUGAAAGGUGCAAUUGCNCCACUACCAGAUGGACCUGCGUUGUAUUAGCUAGUAGGUGAGGUAACGGCUCACCUAGGCGACGAUACAUAGCCGACCUGAGAGGGUGAUCGGCCACACUGGGACUGAGACACGGCCCAGACUCCUACGGGAGGCAGCAGUAGGGAAUCUUCGGCAAUGGACGAAAGUCCGACCGAGCAACGCCGCGUGAGUGAAGAAGGUUUUCGGAUCGUAAAGCUCUGUUGUAAGAGAAGAACGGGUGUGAGAGUGGAAAGUUCACACUGUGACGGUAUCUUACCAGAAAGGGACGGCUAACUACGUGCCAGCAGCCGCGGUAAUACGUAGGU